GACGAACGCUGGCGGCGUGCCUAAUACAUGCAAGUAGAACGCACAGUUUAUACCGUAGCUUGCUACACCAUAGACUGUGAGUUGCGAACGGGUGAGUAACGCGUAGGUAACCUGCCUGGUAGCGGGGGAUAACUAUUGGAAACGAUAGCUAAUACCGCAUAAUAUUAAUUAUUGCAUGAUAAUUAAUUGAAAGGUGCAAUUGCACCACUACCAGAUGGACCUGCGUUGUAUUAGCUAGUAGGUGAGGUAACGGCUCACCUAGGCGACGAUACAUAGCCGACCUGAGAGGGUGAUCGGCCACACUGGGACUGAGACACGGCCCAGACUCCUACGGGAGGCAGCAGUAGGGAAUCUUCGGCAAUAGACGAAAGUCUGACCGAGCAACGCCGCGUGAGCGAAGAAGGUUUUCGGAUCGUAAAGCUCUGUUGUAAGAGAAGAACGGGUGUGAGAGUGGAAAGUUCACACUGUGACGGUAUCUUACCAGAAAGGGACGGCUAACUACGUG
Molecule: ribosomal RNA, 505 nt
Filed under: uncultured bacterium
Lineage: Bacteria
Description: partial 16S ribosomal RNA
Rfam family: Bacterial small subunit ribosomal RNA
Source: RNAcentral